UGCCCUGCGGCGCGAACUGCUUGGCUUGAGUGCGCCGGAAGCGGGCGGAAUUCGUGGUGUAGCGGUGAAAUGCUUAGAUAUCACGAAGAACCCCGAUUGCGAAGGCAGCCCGCUGUGGCGCCACUGACGCUGAGGCUCGAAGGUGCGGGUAUCGAACAGGAUUAGAUACCCUGGUAGUCCGCACGGUAAACGAUGGAUACCCGCUGUCCGGCCCGUACGGUCUGGGCGGCCAAGCGAAAGCGUUAAGUAUCCCACCUGGGGAGUACGCCGGCAACGGUGAAACUCAAAGGAAUUGACGGGGGCCCGCACAAGCGGAGGAACAUGUGGUUUAAUUCGAUGAUACGCGAGGAACCUUACCCGGGCUUGAAUUGCAGGAGCAUGAUUCAGAGAUGAUGAAGUCCCUCGGGACUCCUGUGAAGGUGCUGCAUGGUUGUCGUCAGCUCGUGCCGUGAGGUGUCGGCUCAAGUGCCAUAACGAGCGCAACCCCUCUCCGCAGUUGCCAUCGGGUGAUGCCGGGCACUCUGCGGACACUGCCGCCGCAAGGUGCGAGGAAGGUGGGGAUGACGUCAAAUCAGCACGGCCCUUACGUCCGGGGCCACACACGUGUUACAAUGGCCGGUACAGAGGGCUGUCCGCAUGCAAGUGCGGGCGAAUCCCGAAAUCCGGUCCCAGUUCGGACUGGGGUCUGCAACCCGACCCCACGAAGCUGGAUUCGCUAGUAAUCGCGCAUCAGCCAUGGCGCGGUGAAUACGUUCCCGGGCCUUGUACACACCGCCCGUCAAGCCAUGAAAGCCGGGGGUGCCUGAAGUCCGUGAAGGCGAGGGUCGGCCUAGGGCAAAACCGGUGAUUGGGGCUAA
This 857-nucleotide ribosomal RNA is filed under the name uncultured organism. RNAcentral's name for it is "SSU rRNA". It matches the Rfam family "Bacterial small subunit ribosomal RNA", at positions 617 to 1484 of the family's 1533-position model. The record is from RNAcentral.